RNAcentral lists this ribosomal RNA (252 nucleotides) under uncultured Bacteroidales bacterium. RNAcentral describes it as "partial 16S ribosomal RNA". It matches the Rfam family "Bacterial small subunit ribosomal RNA", at positions 524 to 776 of the family's 1533-position model. The record is from RNAcentral. Lineage: Bacteria; Pseudomonadati; Bacteroidota; Bacteroidia; Bacteroidales.
UACGGAGGAUGCGAGCGUUAUCCGGAUUUAUUGGGUUUAAAGGGUGCGCAGGCGGCCUGUUAAGUCAGCGGUAAAAGCCCGGGGCUCAACCCCGGCGAGCCGUUGAAACUGCCGUGCUAGAGAGGAAGAGAAGUAGGCGGAAUGCGCAGUGUAGCGGUGAAAUGCAUAGAUAUCACGCAGAACUCCGAUUGCGAAGGCAGCAUACCGGCGGCGAUCUGACGCUGAGGCACGAAAGCGUGGGUAUCGAACAGG